UCGAGCGGCGAACGGGUGAGUAACGCGUGGAUGACCUGCCCUUUAGUGGGGAACAACCAGGGGAAACUCUGGCUAAUACCGCAUAAGACCGAAAGGUGAAAGGGGCCCGCAAGGGUCUCGCUGAAGGAGGGGUCCGCGUCCGAUUAGCUAGUUGGUGGGGUAAUGGCCUACCAAGGCGACGAUCGGUAGCCGGCCUGAGAGGGUGAUCGGCCACACUGGAACUGAGACACGGUCCAGACUCCUACGGGAGGCAGCAGUGGGGAAUUUUGCGCAAUGGGGGGAACCCUGACGCAGCAACGCCGCGUGGAGGAUGAAGGUCCUUGGAUUGUAAACUCCUGUCAGCGGGGAAAAAGCAACCGUACCUCAUACGUACGGGAGUUGAUUGUACCCGCAGAGGAAGCCCCGGCUAACUCUGUGCCAGCAGCCGCGGUAAUACAGAGGGGGCAAGCGUUAUUCGGAAUUAUUGGGCGUAAAGGGCGCGUAGGCGGCUUGGCAAGUGGAAGGUGAAAUCCCUCGGCUCAACUGAGGAACUGCCCUCCAAACUGCUUUGCUUGAGGCCGGGAGAGGCGAGUGGAAUUCCCAGUGUAGCGGUGAAAUGCGUAGAUAUUGGGAGGAACACCAGUGGCGAAGGCGGCUCGCUGGACCGGUUCUGACGCUGAUGCGCGAAAGCGUGGGGAGCAAACGGGAUUAGAUACCCCGGUAGUCCACGCCGUAAACGAUGAGUGCUUGGUGUAGCGGGUAUCGACCCCUGCUGUGCCGAAGUCAACACAUUAAGCACU
RNAcentral lists this ribosomal RNA (779 nucleotides) under uncultured Bacillota bacterium. Its description in RNAcentral is "bacterial SSU rRNA". It matches the Rfam family "Bacterial small subunit ribosomal RNA", at positions 91 to 868 of the family's 1533-position model. The record is from RNAcentral. Lineage: Bacteria; Bacillati; Bacillota.